Dermatophagoides farinae (American house dust mite) is the source of this 269-nucleotide non-coding RNA. The record is from RefSeq and is a predicted model, not a curated record. Lineage: Eukaryota; Metazoa; Arthropoda; Arachnida; Sarcoptiformes; Pyroglyphidae.
AGGAAACAAAAUCAACACAACUCUCUAUUGGUCAUCGUCAUUCGAUUUGUUGUUAAACAAAUUAAUAAUUCCAAAUGGCAAGUUUACAAAUCCAUUGUCCGUCGAUUUUUGAAUGGUAAACAUUGAUAUCUAAAUCACAAAUUUUGUUAAUAAUCAAUUUAUAUAUGCAUAUCAAAGUACUUAAAAUGUUGGAACAAUAAUGGUACAAAAAAAAACUUGACAACAAGCCGCAACAAAAAAAAAUUGAUUCAACCAAGAAAAAAAUAGUU